GCCUCUCUCAUCUUUUUAAGUGGGAGAACUUGCACAAUUGGUGGCUGACUAAAUACUUUUUUGCCCCACUGUACAGUACCAGUCAAAAGUGUGGACACACCUACUCAAUCAAUAGUUUUUCUCUAUUUUUACUAUUUUCUACAUUGUAGAAUAACAGUGAGGACAUCAAAACUAUGAAAUGACACAUUUGAAAUCAAGUGGUAACCAAAAAAGUGUUAAACAAAUCAAAAUACACAACCGGUCUGUCACACCCUGAUCUGUUUCACUUGUCUUUGUGCUUUGUGCUUUUUUUGGUUACUACAUGAUUCCAUAUGUGUUAUUUCAAAGUUGUGAUGUCUUCACAAUUAUUCUACAUUGUAGAAGAUAGUAAAAAUAACAGUCAAAAGUUUUGACACGCUGUGUAAAAAUUAUGCCUUUCAAAGUAAAUUAUAUAUUCUGUAUAUUCUGAAAUAUAUUUGACACCUGGGUUUUCACAUGUGCAAAUGUUGUCACAUGUGUAGUGUCAUGGUAUCACAUGUUGAAAUUUUGCAUCCCAAGUUCUCACAUUUAUUUCACAUUGAGAUCAUUUACUCACAUGCCCACAUGUAGUUUGAUAUUAUUGCAUGUUAUCACAUUAACUUCACACAAAUCACGUGUACACAUGAGAAAUUCAUGUGGUUUUUCUGUAAUGGUUUUUAAUCUAGAUGAUAGGAACAAUUUUCAGCAAGUUGCAACAGUGAAAUACAGAAAUAAAAACUUUUCCGUAAACAAGGUCUAAAUAAUGUUUGAUAAACUCUGUAAGUGCAAUUUUUUGCAGAACUGUUUAAUCUAGAUGAUAAGAACACUGUGGACAAUUUUCAGCAAGUUGCAACGUUGAAAUUCAGAAAUAACCCCUUUUCCAUAAACAAGGUCUAAAUCAUGUUUGAUGCACUCAGGAUAUAAAAAAAAAUGUUAUGUUUAAACUAGAUGAUAGGAACACUAUGGACAAUUUUCAGCAAGUUGCAACAUUGAAAUUCAGAAAAAAACACAUUUCCAUAAACAAGGUCUAAAUCGUGUUUGAUGCAUUAAGGAUGUAAAAAUUUUUUGUUCUGUUUAAACAAGAUGAUAGGAACACUGUGGAACAUUUUCUAGAAGUUGCAACAUUGAAAUUCAGAAAUAACCCCUUUUCCACAAAUAAGGUCUAAAUCAUGUUUGAUGCACUCAGGAUGUAAAAAAAUUAUUGUUCUGUAUGAACUAGAUGAUAGAAAAACUGCCGACAAUUUUCAGCAAGUUGCAACGUUGAAAUUCAGAAAUAACCACUUUUCCAUAAACAAGGUCUAAAUCAUGUUUGAUGCACUCAGGAUAUAAAAAAAUGUUAUGUUUAAACUAGAUGAUAGGAACACUAUGGACAAUUUUCAGCAAGUUGCAACAUUGAAAUCCAGAAAAAAAAACAUUUCCAUAAACAAGGCCUAAAUCAUGUUUGAUGCAUUCAGGAUGUAAAAAAAAUAUUGUUCUGUUUAAGCUAGAUGAUCGGAACACUGUGGACAAUUUUUAGCAAGUUGCAAAAUUGAAAUUCGAAAUAAACACAUUUCCAUAAACAAGGUCUAAAUCAUGUUUGAUGCACUCAGGAUGUAAUUUCUUUUGUUCUGAUUAAACUAGAUGAUCGGAACAAUGUGGACAAUUUUCAGCAAGUUGCAAAAUUGAAAUUCGAAAUAAACACUUUUCCAUAAACAAGGUCUAAAUCAUGUUUGAUGCACUCAGGAUG
Molecule: long non-coding RNA, 1723 nt
Organism: Oncorhynchus tshawytscha (Chinook salmon)
Lineage: Eukaryota; Metazoa; Chordata; Actinopteri; Salmoniformes; Salmonidae
Source: Ensembl